This 761-nucleotide ribosomal RNA is filed under the name uncultured Enterobacteriaceae bacterium. RNAcentral's name for it is "bacterial SSU rRNA". It matches the Rfam family "Bacterial small subunit ribosomal RNA", at positions 28 to 776 of the family's 1533-position model. Lineage: Bacteria; Pseudomonadati; Pseudomonadota; Gammaproteobacteria; Enterobacterales; Enterobacteriaceae. The record is from RNAcentral.
AUUGAACGCCGCCGGCAGGCCUAACACAUGCAAGUCGAGCGGCAGCGGAAAGUAGCUUGCUACUUUGCCGGCGAGCGGCGGACGGGUGAGUAAUGUCUGGGAAACUGCCUGAUGGAGGGGGAUGACUACUGGAAACGGUAGCUAAUACCCGCAUGACCUCGAAAGAGCAAAGUGGGGGAUCUUCGGACCCUCACGCCAUCGGAUGUGCCCAGAUGGGAUUAGCUAGUAGGUGAGGUAAUGGCUCACCUAGGCGACGAUCCCUAGCUGGUCUGAGAGGAUGACCAGCCACACUGGAACUGAGACACGGUCCAGACUCCUACGGGAGGCAGCAGUGGGGAAUAUUGCACAAUGGGCGCAAGCCUGAUGCAGCCAUGCCGCGUGUGUGAAGAAGGCCUUAGGGUUGUAAAGCACUUUCAGCGAGGAGGAAGGCAUCACACUUAAUACGUGUGGUGAUUGACGUUACUCGCAGAAGAAGCACCGGCUAACUCCGUGCCAGCAGCCGCGGUAAUACGGAGGGUGCAAGCGUUAAUCGGAAUUACUGGGCGUAAAGCGCACGCAGGCGGUUUGUUAAGUCAGAUGUGAAAUCCCCGCGCUUAACGUGGGAACUGCAUUUGAAACUGGCAAGCUAGAGUCUUGUAGAGGGGGGUAGAAUUCCAGGUGUAGCGGUGAAAUGCGUAGAGAUCUGGAGGAAUACCGGUGGCGAAGGCGGCCCCCUGGACAAAGACUGACGCUCAGGUGCGAAAGCGUGGGGAGCAAACAGG